Papilio xuthus (Asian swallowtail) is the source of this 66-nucleotide non-coding RNA. NCBI's taxonomy places the organism in Eukaryota, Metazoa, Arthropoda, Insecta, Lepidoptera, Papilionidae. The record is from Rfam.
UCGCUCACAAAGUGGUUGAGAUGUGCUUGUUAUGUAUCAUAUCACAGCCAGCUUUGAUGAGCGACA